Molecule: long non-coding RNA, 828 nt
Organism: Phasianus colchicus (ring-necked pheasant)
Lineage: Eukaryota; Metazoa; Chordata; Aves; Galliformes; Phasianidae
Source: Ensembl
GUUCACUUUUUGCUCCCUGCUCUCUCUACUGUGAUUUCAACUGAAAUUUUUGAUCCUAUGCGACAUGGUUACUCACUACAUCCGUGGAAUUUGGCAUACCAUUCAGCCCUAAACCUGUGUUUCACUGAAGGAGCAGUGAAGUUUGACACUGGCAUUUCUGUUGUUGCUGACAGUGAUGAUGUGCUUCUCUCUUAAGCCUGAAAGUUACACCCAAGACCUUGAUCAUGAAGAUAAUGAGCAGACUGACAACAAUCAAGGUAUUGCCAAGUAAAACAAUGACCAUAACAGUGUCUCUAACUGGGUACUGAAAGAUCUUAUAGCAGACACCUGGUUCAAGAGCUGAGGGCCAACUGAAAACAUAGGGAACCUGUAACUAUGAGUCAACCAUCUUACCUCAUAAACAGUGAGCAGCUCUACAGACCCUGGAGUACGUCUACAUGGCACCUGGCUGUAUGACAGCAUUGCCUCUUGAGGUUAUGCCCAUCACAUCUUGUCAAAAGCUGCCCUGUCAAUGCAGAUACUUGAUAAGUGAUGGAAUAACUAUACAUGUGGACUUCAAAGGAGGUGCUAUGGGAGGAGCAGCUCUUUUAGAACAAGAACCCAUGUGCAAAAUCCUGUUACAUCUGAAGAGCAGCCAAAGAAGCCUCUCACCAAUGAUGUGUGUGAAGAUAGUCUUUAACUGGCAAAGGGACACAACAGAUGCUUUUCAAUUCCAUUAAACUCUAUGCAUUAAAUCCUGCUUCUCAACGUGGUGCCAAUGGCCUGGAACUGAAAGUAAACCAUUUUGUUGUAAGUUGUAUUCUUUCUAUUUCAAUUGACUGAUUAGAU